Molecule: long non-coding RNA, 1746 nt
Organism: Topomyia yanbarensis
Lineage: Eukaryota; Metazoa; Arthropoda; Insecta; Diptera; Culicidae
Exons: 3
Source: RefSeq, a predicted model, not a curated record
UUUUUGCUUAUAUUCAUGUGUUCAUAUAUGUAUGUGUUUCUUAGUUUCAUUAAAUGUUUCCGAAUCUCCCAGGAUAAAAGAGAUAUCAGCAGAUCUUUCUUACUUAGCCUUCCGAGCUUAUUUCUCAGCAUUGUGGAAUCGAGGAAUCGAAUGUUGCUUGAGGUACCAGUAUUAUGUGUACAUAUGGUUGUAGAUUCUCGAUCAGUAAUAUACUGAGAGCUAUCAUCUUUUUGUUCACUCUUGAUAAUCAUAUGCAUGAGUUUUUGCACAUCAUUAAGCUUUAGUAAAUCUUGUCCGCUUCUCCAGAGAAGAAAAAAAAUAACUAAAACUAUACAGAAAGGAAAAAGGUGAGUGUUACGAAUAAAUAAAUUUAUGUUGGCCACUCAGAAUGGUUCAACGGACAUGAAACAGGAACAUGGUUAGUCAUAUUUUGUGAUAAAUACACUGCGUUUAAAUAUAUUAUAUUAUAGUUUAGUGACCUAAAUUGUUGGCGAAUUGUAACUAUGUAAACUGAACCGAUUUUAAUGACGUACAUGUUUCCAUUUCUAAGUCUUCGAUUGAUCCCUGACAGUAAUUGCAAUCGGCUCAGGCUCUUUUGUGCGUCAUGCAUUCACUGACUCACAAUCGAAUUGUGCCUCGACCAACCUGACACGACGCGCCCAUUCCCCUUACUGAGCAAAAGGGCAGGGUGCCACACAUACGAUUAAAACUUUUCAUUCAAAAAACUUUCAAUUUAGAUUCAUACAAGGAGGUAAAGAAUUGUUCCAGUUCGACCGUGCGAACGCACCAGCUCCGCAUAUACGGACGCUGCAGCGUUAUUUAAAAGCAAAAUCGGAGCAAUUUGAAGAAGGUCGCUUGAUGAUUGUCGAGCUAAAACGUUACUUAAUUUAUAAUAAUUAUCCCCUGGUAGUCUGCUGGAGUGAGGACGCAACAAGGAUAACCGGAGGAGUUGAAUAUAACACUCAACAUGAUAAAAUAACUGGACUAGUGGCUCCUCUAAAUGAAUACGGAAUGCCUACAAUGAAUCUUUUUAGUUGUUCAUCACCUGCAAACGUUAUACCGCAUUUGAAAAACUUUCCGAUUGGACGCAACGUACAUGUCAAUGGUGCAACCAUUGGUAUCGCAUGCAGCACCUUUCUGUAUCAAUUAUUUUUGCACGGUUUUCUACAAGCGAUGUUUUAAAAAAGUGGAAAUUCGUCAAACAAGUUUUUGAAAAAGAAGGCAUCUGCAUUGCGUGUAAAGCAACAGAUGGAGAUAGUCGUUUUAUUAGCGCCAUGAUCUAUCAAAUGAAGUUACCACUGGAUGAAGAAAAUCAGUUUGGGGAAUGGUUCGUGGCAGCUACCGAUGGCGAGAUCUGUGUACAGGAUCCUACACACCUCGCAAAUAAGUUUCGUACAAGACUCGUAAAACAAGACAUUCAAUUGCUUUUAGGAAAGUACCGAGUAUCCAAACUACAUCUGGAAGGACUAAUUAGUGAUGUAUAUAAGGAUAGACACGUAUUGACUCUUGCCGAUAUAAACGAGAAUGAUAAAAUGAAAUUUAAACCGGUAGAAAAAAUCACUUCAGAAAAAGUUAUCUCAAAUAUGAAAGCGUUGCAUGAACCCGAAACUUGGUCAGGAUCUAACUCCAACUGCAAUCAUAUCAUAAAAGUUGACAGGAGUUAGAACCUGAUUCAAUUUCGCUUCAAGCUAAAAAAACAAGAACAUAUUUCAACGCAUAAUAUAAUAUAUUAUAAGAAAAAUUAAA